AACGAACGCUGGCGGCAUGCCUAACACAUGCAAGUCGAACGAGACCUUCGGGGCUAUUUGCUCACGGGUGCGUAACGCGUGGGAAUCUGCCCUUGGGUUCGGAAUAACAGUUGGAAACGACUGCUAAUACCGGAUGAUGACGUAAGUCCAAAGAUUUAUCGCCCAAGGAUGAGCCCGCGUAGGAUUAGCUAGUUGGUGAGGUAAAGGCUAACCAAGGCGACGAUCCUUAGCUGUUCUGAGAGGAUGAUCAGCCACACUGGGACUGAGACACGGCCCAGACUCCUACGGGAGGCAGCAGUGGGGAAUAUUGGACAAUGCGCGAAAGCCUGAUCAAGCAAUGCCGCGUGAGUGAUGAAGGCGUUAGCAUUGUAAAGCUCUCUUAAACGGGAUGAUACUGACAGUACCGGGAGAAUAAGCCCCGGCUAACUCCGUG
Molecule: ribosomal RNA, 433 nt
Filed under: uncultured bacterium
Lineage: Bacteria
Description: partial 16S ribosomal RNA
Rfam family: Bacterial small subunit ribosomal RNA
Source: RNAcentral